UCUGGGAAAGUACUUUGCUUGGAACACAAACUACACGGACACCUGCUGCCUUUCGUUUGUGCACCGGCUCUAACUUUCGCUAACUUGGAAUACCCGCUGGGACGAACAUUUGCUUGUUUAGGAACACUCAUUCAACAUUGAAGCGAUACAUUUUGACUGCGAGUCUUCCCACUUGUUCUUCACCUCCAACCUCAGCGAAGCAACUUGGACCGACAACGUAAAUCCAGUCUUAGAGCCCAGCACAGACAGACAGGAAAAAGCCACAAGACACACAAAUAAUAAGCAGGACCAGUAAAAAAACACAGUAGCACAAGGGCAAAAAAAAAAAGACUGAUCCAAACAUUGUAUUUCAUACAUCUUAUAUUCUUCCAUCCGUACUUGACAUCUUGUGGGAGAACCUGAAUGAAUUGUUGUACUGUGGACUCGUCUUUGGCAAUUGGACUUGUUUUCCAGCAAUACUACACUGAACAUAUGUAACUAAAAUGUCACUCUGAGUCUCGUAAUCGUUUAAAUCUCCAACUCAAGCUGUUAACGAAACACACCACGAUCGUGGAGUCAGGUAUGUGUGUGCUUGUGUGCGUGUGUGUGUUUUUUUUCUUUUUUGUGUCCAUCUGUUUGUUAAUUAGCGGGCUAGCUGCUGAUUA
Molecule: long non-coding RNA, 644 nt
Organism: Syngnathoides biaculeatus (alligator pipefish)
Lineage: Eukaryota; Metazoa; Chordata; Actinopteri; Syngnathiformes; Syngnathidae
Exons: 3
Source: RefSeq, a predicted model, not a curated record